This 1612-nucleotide long non-coding RNA is filed under the name Salmo salar (Atlantic salmon). RNAcentral describes it as "lncRNA (ENSSSAG00000091819.1)". The record is from RNAcentral. Lineage: Eukaryota; Metazoa; Chordata; Actinopteri; Salmoniformes; Salmonidae.
CAGGAAGACCCUGUACUCCUGUUAGCAGCUCUGAUUGGCUGUAACUGGGAUGUUGGGUGAUAUUGAUUGACAGCACUUAAUGGGCGGGACUACAGGAAAACAAAUUCUCCCAUUGGAGAAUAUUAACAAUGGCUCCUUUUGGCACUAAACAUCGGGUUUUGCGGGGAAGUGAUCAACGUGCCUUUUUAAAUUGAUAAACGGAACAGUUUAAUAGCCCUGCAGUACAGUAUGGUUUAGAAACUCUUUCGUAGCGCGCUAGAUGUCAAACAGGAAAUGACAUAGCCAGGUCUGCCAUGUUUACGCAGGCGACGGGCGUGUGUUUUGCGAGUUUCUUUAUCUCUGCAGAGUGAAAAUGCAAAGGACUUGACUUCUGUAAAGUUAUAACUCACCGGCAUUGGUAUAAUCGAAGUUAAUAUCUUAUGCAUGGCAAAGCUUAAGAACCUUAAUCGGUAAUUCAAAUUAUGACUCGUUUUAGCUGGCUACAUAUCGUUGCUAGCUAGCUAGCUUUCUCCACAACAAGGAGGCGGGCGGAAGUAGCUAAUGCAUGUUAGCUAGCUAGUAAGCCUCAGUUCCGUUUUUAGUAUAGUUUGGUGGACGUUGGUUAACCUAUAUUGUGACUGAGUGACAAUAAGAGCUAGCCGACUUUCGCCGUUACAAGCAAGCCAUGGCUGAAUCCCAGAAAGCGGACCAUUCAGAGCAUAAAGGUGAGCCAGACAAAGAGACAGAGCAGCCAUCUCAGGCUGGAACAUCAAUGGAUUCGGUGGACCCUGGAGCCUCACACCGCAAUACUGCCUCAGCAGAUGGAAACAAUGGGGAUGAUGCUACCAAUGCAGUCAGUGCAUGUUCCUCCUCAAUUAUAGAUGGGGCAGGGGAUGCUGGUAAUUCAGGACCUGUGAGGGAAACCGAUGCAGAGGAUUCACAGAUGGUGGAAGAAGCUGUAAAAACAGAUGCUUUGCUGACUGUGGUAGAAAUGGACAGUAAAGAGGAUUCCCAGACGGAAAGAGAAACAGCCAGUGCGGAUGUUUCCCAGACGGAAAGAGAAACAGCCAGUGCGGAUGUUUCCCAGACGGAAAGAGAAACAGCCAGUGCGGAUGUUUCCCAGACGGAAAGAGAAACAGCCAGUGCGGAUGUUUCCCAGACGGAAAGAGAAACAGCCCGUGCGGGUGCCUCACAGACGGAAAGAGAAACAGCCCGUGCGGGUGCCUCACAGACGGAAAGAGAAACAGCCCGUGCGGGUGCCUCACUGAAGGACACAGCCCGUGCGGGUGCCUCACUGAAGGACACAGCCCGUGCGGAUGCCUCACUGAAGGACACAGCCCGUGCGGAUGCCUCACUGAAGGACACAGCCCGUGCGGAUGCCUCACAGACGGACACAGCCCGUGCGGGUGCCUCACAGACGGACACAGCCCGUGCGGGUGCCUCACAGACGGACACAGCCCGUGCGGAUGCCUCACAGACGGACACAGCCCGUGCGGAACAGACGGACACAGCCCGUGCGGGUGCCUCACAGACGGACACAGCCCGUGCGGGUGCCUCACAGACGGACACAGCCCGUGCGGGUGCCUCACAGACGGACACAGCCCGUGCGGGUGCCUCACAGACGGACACAGCC